Molecule: small nucleolar RNA, 49 nt
Filed under: Pyrobaculum islandicum DSM 4184
Lineage: Archaea; Thermoproteati; Thermoproteota; Thermoprotei; Thermoproteales; Thermoproteaceae
Description: PISsR04
Source: RNAcentral
GUGAUGAGGGGAUGUAUUUGCGAUUAGUGAGCAAGUCCUCGAUCGCUGA